Molecule: ribosomal RNA, 168 nt
Filed under: uncultured bacterium
Lineage: Bacteria
Description: partial 16S ribosomal RNA
Rfam family: Bacterial small subunit ribosomal RNA
Source: RNAcentral
CGCUAGUAAUCGCGGAUCAGAAUGCCGCGGUGAAUACGUUCCCGGGUCUUGUACACACCGCCCGUCACACCAUGGGAGUUGGAAAUGCCCGAAGUCAGUGACCCAACCCAAGGGAGGGAGCUGCCGAAGGCAGGUUCGAUGACUGGGGUGAAGUCGUAACAAGGUACC